Molecule: non-coding RNA, 27 nt
Filed under: Mus musculus (house mouse)
Lineage: Eukaryota; Metazoa; Chordata; Mammalia; Rodentia; Muridae
Source: RNAcentral
UGAACUACCUCCUGAAUUGCUGUGACC